Molecule: transfer RNA, 73 nt
Filed under: Kitasatospora viridis
Lineage: Bacteria; Bacillati; Actinomycetota; Actinomycetes; Kitasatosporales; Streptomycetaceae
Rfam family: tRNA
About the family: Transfer RNA (tRNA) molecules are approximately 80 nucleotides in length. Their secondary structure includes four short double-helical elements and three loops (D, anti-codon, and T loops). Further hydrogen bonds mediate the characteristic L-shaped molecular structure. tRNAs have two regions of fundamental functional importance: the anti-codon, which is responsible for specific mRNA codon recognition, and the 3' end, to which the tRNAs corresponding amino acid is attached (by aminoacyl-tRNA synthetases). tRNAs cope with the degeneracy of the genetic code in two manners: having more than one tRNA (with a specific anti-codon) for a particular amino acid; and 'wobble' base-pairing, i.e. permitting non-standard base-pairing at the 3rd anti-codon position.
Source: Rfam by way of RNAcentral
GGCCAUGUGCCCGAGUGGUCCCAGGGAUCCGCCUGCACAGCGGUUGACGCGGGUUCGAAUCCCGUCAUGGCCU